Molecule: long non-coding RNA, 996 nt
Organism: Athene cunicularia (burrowing owl)
Lineage: Eukaryota; Metazoa; Chordata; Aves; Strigiformes; Strigidae
Exons: 6
Source: RefSeq, a predicted model, not a curated record
CGGCCGCUGCUGACCUCGGCCCCGGGGGAGCUGCGGCAGGGCAGGUGUCGGCUCUCAUCCCCGGGGAGCAAUUGAAACAGACGCUUACCUAAGCUGUUUCCUCCACAACCCUGCAAGAUCCGUCUGGCUCGCUUUUUGGCAUCUUCUGGAAAACUUGGACUGUCCAACAGGUUUGGAUUAUAUGUUGGACUUCAGUGACAGACUGGAACCCUGAUGUGCAAAGAUAACAAUGACCAAAAUAUCAGUAGUCACCAGGAAUAAAAAUUUCCAGACUUUCAAGGUGUGUUCCAGGAGCAGUCUGACUGGAUUGUAAUUGGCCUCUGCCAGCAGGCGGAGAUUUGGAAAAGAGAAGCUUGCAGAACAGGAGCUCUAAUAACAAACUCGGGAGCAACAAGCUCUAAUGUGCACUGGAGACAGGAAGGGCAACCUGGAUGUGGGCUUCCUGAAACCAAAAGACAUCAAUGAGUAACAACCUUCUGAAGAACACAAUGCUUUGAGCUCUCAUUGGAGAUCUGCCCCUGGCAGUCAUAGAGACAAGUUGUCAGCAAGAGAAGAUAGUGAAUGACUUGGGAGUGAUAGUACUUGGAGGCAGAACUGCAACCUCCCCCUUCAAACAGUACAUGUGAGGAAUCUACUCUGAGGACAUUCUGUCUUUCAAGGGAAAGACAUUUGUUUUUAAAAUUGAGAAAAGGAAAUUUUUCCCCUAAGAUUGUCACCUGUGGACUUUGUCUUAUGAGAAGAUUACCCAUUAAGAUUGCUAAGAACCACCACAUUUCAGAUGAUGCAGGUGAGGAUGUACCUCUUUACUGUUGUUUAUUAUAUCACAUGACUUCCCUGUGUAAUCUCCUAAAUGUUCAGACAUUCCUCAGAACAGAUACAUGUAUUUAUUACUCUAUGUGGCCUUUCAGAAGAUUUUCGUUUUUACAGUCUACAUUUAAGGUGUGUGCCACAAUCAUGCCACUUAGAAAUCUGUAAUAAAAAUGUAUUGCUUAUCUA